RNAcentral lists this ribosomal RNA (585 nucleotides) under uncultured bacterium. RNAcentral's name for it is "bacterial SSU rRNA". It matches the Rfam family "Bacterial small subunit ribosomal RNA", at positions 338 to 916 of the family's 1533-position model. The record is from RNAcentral.
CCUACGGGAGGCAGCAGUGGGGAAUUUUGGACAAUGGGGGCAACCCUGAUCCAGCAAUGCCGCGUGUGUGAAGAAGGCCUUCGGGUUGUAAAGCACUUUUGUCCGGAAAGAAAUGGCUCUGGUUAAUACCCGGGGUCGAUGACGGUACCGGAAGAAUAAGCACCGGCUAACUACGUGCCAGCAGCCGCGGUAAUACGUAGGGUGCGAGCGUUAAUCGGAAUUACUGGGCGUAAAGCGUGCGCAGGCGGUUUUGUAAGACAGGCGUGAAAUCCCCGAGCUCAACUUGGGAAUGGCGCUUGUGACUGCAAGGCUAGAGUAUGUCAGAGGGGGGUAGAAUUCCACGUGUAGCAGUGAAAUGCGUAGAGAUGUGGAGGAAUACCGAUGGCGAAGGCAGCCCCCUGGGACGUCACUGACUCUCAUGCACGAAAGCGUGGGGAGCAAACAGGAUUAGAUACCCUGGUAGUCCACGCCCUAAACGAUGUCAACUAGUUGUUGGGGAUUCAUUUCUUCAGUAACGUAGCUAACGCGUGAAGUUGACCGCCUGGGGAGUACGGUCGCAAGAUUAAAACUCAAAGGAAUUGACGG